This 484-nucleotide ribosomal RNA is filed under the name uncultured bacterium. RNAcentral describes it as "partial 16S ribosomal RNA". It matches the Rfam family "Bacterial small subunit ribosomal RNA", at positions 30 to 507 of the family's 1533-position model. The record is from RNAcentral.
AUUGAACGCUGGCGGCAGGCCUAACACAUGCAAGUCGAGCGGAUGAAGGGAGCUUGCUCCUGGAUUCAGCGGCGGACGGGUGAGUAAUUCCUAGGAAUCUGCCUGGUAGUGGGGGAUAACGUCCGGAAACGGGCGCUAAUACCGCAUACGUCCUGAGGGAGAAAGUGGGGGAUCUUCGGACCUCACGCUAUCAGAUGAGCCUAGGUCGGAUUAGCUAGUUGGUGGGGUAAAGGCCUACCAAGGCGACGAUCCGUAACUGGUCUGAGAGGAUGAUCAGUCACACUGGAACUGAGACACGGUCCAGACUCCUACGGGAGGCAGCAGUGGGGAAUAUUGGACAAUGGGUGAAAGCCUGAUCCAGCCAUGCCGCGUGUGUGAAGAAGGUCUUCGGAUUGUAAAGCACUUUAAGUUGGGAGGAAGGGCAGUAAGUUAAUACCUUGCUGUUUUGACGUUACCAACAGAAUAAGCACCGGCUAACUUCGUG